UUUUAUCAAGUGGAAUCUAACUGAUGUUUCAUGUUCCUCUCAACUUUACCUGUUAUGGUGCAUCUGAAGAAAGAGACACCUGAAUGGUACCUCCAACAUCUGAGAAUGUAAAGGAAAGUAGUCGGCCAAAUCCAUGGAAAGAAUGUGAAGGAAUGAGGCAGGCAUGUGGGAGAGUUCUAAGCCGCUUGAAUUCAUCCAGGGCCGGGGGUCUCCACUGCCCAGCGAGUGUGAUUGGAAGGACACCAGAGAGCUGUGCACUUAGGAAAUGCUGAGCAGCUGACAGAGAAAAAGAAACAUGUUUCCUGUGAGCACCGGAGUCUCCCUUCUCCUUACCGUUACCUCGGAGGAGCGAGGCGGCGUCACACAGGAGGAAGAGUUUGGAGCCGUGAGUCAGACCUGCGUCCCACCUGCCGUGGCAACAACUCCAGCUCUCGGAGACUCGGCUUUCCCUGCAGGGGACUUUAAACCAGACACUGGAGAGCCUCUGCGUCUCUUCUCGCUUGGAGAGAGGGAUUUUAGGAAGCAAGGACAUGUUUCGGAGGAGGGGCAGGGAAAUCCCGUGACAGACCAGGCGGACAGGGGGAGCGAAUGCAGGAAGAGCAAAGGGGGGGCUGAAGCCCGUGGACCCUGAUGCGGCGGAGACGGUCAGGUCAGCCCGCUCCCAGAAUCGUCUCUCAAACCGUUUGUGCUGUGCUCCAUCAGGGACUUCAACAACAUGACAAAAAAGCCCUGAAGAUAUUUUAAGAGCAGUGGCUGAGAAAACAGUGUCCCUGGGAUGCACUUAAGGGACCAGGCCGGAGCUCCUGCGGAGGAAGCAGUUGAGAUGUAAUUGGCACAGCAUUCUACGAGUUUCUCAGGUGUACAACGUGACUCAGUGUUUGUUGAUAUCACGAGAGGGCCACCGCGGACUGGUCGCGACUUUCCAGCCGAGGAUCACCUCCUCCGCCUGUGCCCGGGGCUCCCUGGGCAUAGUGACCACCUCCUACCAGGAGGGCAUGGGAGUGAGAGGAAGCCUGUGCCGCCUUCUCCCUGCCUCCUCCGAAC
Long non-coding RNA from Manis pentadactyla (Chinese pangolin), 1044 nucleotides. RefSeq lists it as uncharacterized. The record is from RefSeq and is a predicted model, not a curated record. The transcript has 6 exons. NCBI's taxonomy places the organism in Eukaryota, Metazoa, Chordata, Mammalia, Pholidota, Manidae.